GGGGGAAUUUUGCGCAAUGGGGGAAACCCUGACGCAGCAACGCCGCGUGGAGGAUGAAGUCCUUCGGGACGUAAACUCCUUUCGAUCGGGACGAUUAUGACGGUACCGGAAGAAGAAGCCCCGGCUAACUUCGUGCCAGCAGCCGCGGUAAUACGAGGGGGGCGAGCGUUGUUCGGAAUUAUUGGGCGUAAAGGGUGCGUAGGCGGUUUUGUAAGUCUUAUGUGAAAUCUAUGGGCUCAACUCAUAGACUGCAUGAGAAACUGCAGGGCUUGAGUAUGGGAGAGGUGAGUGGAAUUCCUGGUGUAGCGGUGAAAUGCGUAGAUAUCAGGAGGAACACCUGUGGCGAAAGCGGCUCACUGGACCAUAACUGACGCUGAUGCACGAAAGCUAGGGGAGCAAACAGGAUUAGAUACCCUGGUAGUCCUAGCCCUAAACGAUGAUUGCUUGGUGUGAUCGGUACCCAAUCCGAUCGUGCCGCAGCUAACGCGAUAAGCAAUCCGCCUGGGGAGUACGGUCGCAAGGCUG
RNAcentral lists this ribosomal RNA (525 nucleotides) under uncultured bacterium. Its description in RNAcentral is "bacterial SSU rRNA". It matches the Rfam family "Bacterial small subunit ribosomal RNA", at positions 355 to 896 of the family's 1533-position model. The record is from RNAcentral.